Molecule: ribosomal RNA, 405 nt
Filed under: uncultured bacterium
Lineage: Bacteria
Description: bacterial SSU rRNA
Rfam family: Bacterial small subunit ribosomal RNA
Source: RNAcentral
UGGGGAAUAUUGCACAAUGGGCGAAAGUCUGAUGCAGCGACGCCGCGUGAGGGAUGACGGCCUUCGGGUUGUAAACCUCUUUCGCCCGGGACGAAGCGAAAGUGACGGUACCUGCAGAAGAAGCGCCGGCUAACUACUUGCCAGCAGCCGCGGUAAUACGUAGGGCGCAAGCGGUAUCCGGAAUUAUUGGGCGUAAAGAGCUCGUAGGCGGUUUGUCGCGUCUGCCGUGAAAGUCCGGGGCUCAACUCCGGAUCUGCGGUGGGUACGGGCAGACUAGAGUGAUGUAGGGGAGACUGGAAUUCCUGGUGUAGCGGUGAAAUGCGCAGAUAUCAGGAGGAACACCGAUGGCGAAGGCAGGUCUCUGGGCAUUAACUGACGCUGAGGAGCGAAAGCAUGGGGAGCGAA